AAGUCGUAACAAGGUAACCGUAGGUGAACCUGCGGAAGGAUCAUUAUCACAAAUGAUUUUUAACUCUCUUAAUCCAGAGUUAAACCUCUUCUUAAACCAAUCUAAUUAAAAUGUGAAAUCGUUUUAUUUUAAGACUUGGCAACAAGUCUUAAAAUUAUUAACCAAUUGAACCCUUUUCUAAUUAAUGUUAUUUUAUUUAUUUAGUUCUGAAAUCUAUUAUAUAUCAAUAUGUAAUAAUAUUGACAUGUAAUAAGUUACAUUACGAAACAAUUUAAAUAAAACAACUCUUAGCAACGGAUAUCUUGGUUCUC
RNAcentral lists this unclassified non-coding RNA (311 nucleotides) under fungal sp. RNAcentral's name for it is "partial internal transcribed spacer region". The stretch from base 1 to 46 matches the Rfam family "Eukaryotic small subunit ribosomal RNA", at positions 1786 to 1831 of the family's 1831-position model. The record is from RNAcentral. Lineage: Eukaryota; Fungi.